GCGAGAAUAGCUCAGUGGUAGAGCUCCACCUUGCCAAGGUGGAUGUCGCGGGUUCGAGUCCCGUUUCUCGCUC
Molecule: transfer RNA, 73 nt
Filed under: Spirochaetes bacterium ADurb.Bin133
Lineage: Bacteria; Pseudomonadati; Spirochaetota
Description: tRNA-Gly
Rfam family: tRNA
About the family: Transfer RNA (tRNA) molecules are approximately 80 nucleotides in length. Their secondary structure includes four short double-helical elements and three loops (D, anti-codon, and T loops).
Source: RNAcentral